This is a long non-coding RNA of Glossina fuscipes, 369 nucleotides long. RefSeq lists it as uncharacterized. The record is from RefSeq and is a predicted model, not a curated record. NCBI's taxonomy places the organism in Eukaryota, Metazoa, Arthropoda, Insecta, Diptera, Glossinidae. The transcript is spliced from 3 exons.
CACUCAACAGCAACGGCGCUGAUAUGCAGUAGAAAAGUUUUUUGUAUAAACUAAAGUAAACGCGAAACGCGCUUAACAUUUAAGAAGUGUUGAACAUAAAGUAAAUUUUAUAAGCGCUGCAGACCCAACUUAAUAUAAAAACAUCGGUCGGCUUGAUAUUAUUCUCAGAAAGUUCAUCAAGUGUAAAUUUUCCAACGUCGAAGAACAGAAGAAAAGAAAAUCACUCAUCACUAAAUAGCCAGAAAGAAAGUUGAAGCCAACGUUGGAUGUUGUCAAAGCUUGCAAUUGUAAGAUUCAUUGAAAAGAAAAAGCAGCGAAAAAAUUGCAAAUUCUAAAGUGAGAACAGAUAAAUAAAUAGAAAAUAUUUUU